AACGAACGCUGGCGGCAUGCCUAACACAUGCAAGUCGAACGAGACCUUCGGGUCUAGUGGCGCACGUGUGCGUAACGCGUGGGAACCUGCCCUUAGGUUCGGAAUAACUCCCCGAAAGGGGUGCUAAUACCGGAUAAUGUCUUCGGACCAAAGAUUUAUCGCCUUUGGAUGGGCCCGCGUUGGAUUAGCUAGUUGGUAGGGUAAAAGCCUACCAAGGCGACGAUCCAUAGCUGGUCUGAGAGGAUGAUAAGCCACACUGGGACUGAGACACGGCCCAGACUCCUACGCGAGGGAGCAGUAGGGAAUAUUGGACGAUGGGGGAAGGCCUGAUCCAGCAAUGCCGCGUGAGUGAUGAAGGCCUUAGGGUUGUAAAGCUCUUUUACCCGGGAUGAUAAUGACAGUACCGGGAGAAUAAGCUCCGGCUAACUCCGUG
Molecule: ribosomal RNA, 433 nt
Filed under: uncultured bacterium
Lineage: Bacteria
Description: partial 16S ribosomal RNA
Rfam family: Bacterial small subunit ribosomal RNA
Source: RNAcentral